GACGAACGCUGGCGGCGUGCCUAAUACAUGCAAGUCGAACGCUUCUUUCCUCCCGAGUGCUUGCACUCAAUUGGAAAGAGGAGUGGCGGACGGGUGAGUAACACGCGGGUAACCUACCCAUCAGAGGGGGAUAACACUUGGAAACAGGUGCUAAUACCGCAUAACAGUUUAUGCCGCAUGGCAUAAGAGUGAAAGGCGCUUUCGGGUGUCGUUGAUGGAUGGACCCGCGGUGCAUUAGCUAGUUGGUGAGGUAACGGCUCACCAAGGCCACGAUGCAUAGCCGACCUGAGAGGGUGAUCGGCCACACUGGGACUGAGACACGGCCCAGACUCCUACGGGAGGCAGCAGUAGGGAAUCUUCGGCAAUGGACGAAAGUCUGACCGAGCAACGCCGCGUGAGUGAAGAAGGUUUUCGGAUCGUAAAACUCUGUUGUUAGAGAAGAACAAGGACGUUAGUAACUGAACGUCCCCUGACGGUAUCUAACCAGAAAGCCACGGCUAACUACGUG
This 508-nucleotide ribosomal RNA is filed under the name uncultured bacterium. Its description in RNAcentral is "partial 16S ribosomal RNA". It matches the Rfam family "Bacterial small subunit ribosomal RNA", at positions 28 to 507 of the family's 1533-position model. The record is from RNAcentral.